This 253-nucleotide ribosomal RNA is filed under the name uncultured bacterium. RNAcentral's name for it is "partial 16S ribosomal RNA". It matches the Rfam family "Bacterial small subunit ribosomal RNA", at positions 524 to 776 of the family's 1533-position model. The record is from RNAcentral.
GACGUAGGGGGCAAGCGUUGUUCGGAAUUAUUGGGCCUAAAGCAUCCGUAGCCGGUUCUACAAGUCUUCCGUUAAAUCCACCUGCUCAACAGAUGGGCUGCGGAAGAUACUAUGGAGCUAGGAGGCGGGAGAGGCAAGCGGUACUCGAUGGGUAGGGGUAAAAUCCGUUGAUCCAUUGAAGACCACCAGUGGCGAAGGCGGCUUGCCAGAACGCGCUCGACGGUGAGGGAUGAAAGCUGGGGGAGCAAACCGG